Pelobates cultripes (western spadefoot toad) is the source of this 305-nucleotide non-coding RNA. The record is from the annotation of a GenBank genome assembly. Lineage: Eukaryota; Metazoa; Chordata; Amphibia; Anura; Pelobatidae.
GCCAAUCAUCUGUCCUUACUAGCGAUUAGUUACUAGAGAUUUGUCAGCACAGAUACGUUAUCACUGCGGAGAGAUGGUUUUGGCUCGGGGACUCAAGAAUUGCGUGGCAAUAAGACAACAACCCCCCACAGUGCACAGCCAAAGUCGUCAGUAAAUUCUAUAACCGUGCAUCCGGUACAGAUGUAUUGACAGAUUAGAACUGUUUUAGCAUGCUGACUGAGCACACGUUAAAAAUACACAGUGUUAGGUAAGUAGAGAGUAGGACCCCAUACUAGCCAGGUGUCCUUCGCUAUAGCUCCUCAAGC